RNAcentral lists this ribosomal RNA (328 nucleotides) under uncultured eukaryote. RNAcentral's name for it is "partial 18S ribosomal RNA". It matches the Rfam family "Eukaryotic small subunit ribosomal RNA", at positions 1470 to 1796 of the family's 1831-position model. The record is from RNAcentral.
CCCUUAGAUGUUCUGGGCCGCACGCGCGCUACACUGAUACGUUCAGCGAGUAUAUAACCUUGAUUGGAAAAUCUGGGUAAUCUUUUGAAUGCGUAUCGUGCUAGGGAUAGAUUAUUGCAAUUAUUAAUCUUGAACGAGGAAUUCCUAGUAAACGCAAGUCAUCAGCUUGCAUUGAUUACGUCCCUGCCCUUUGUACACACCGCCUGUCGCACAAACCGAUUGAAUGAUUCGGUGAAAAUUUUGGACAUCGAGAGUGGUGAUUAAUUUCGCUGCUCUUAAAUGGAAAGAAUUUAAACCUAAUUAUUUAGAGGAUUGUGAGGUCAUAACA